AUUGAACGCUGGCGGCAGGCCUAACACAUGCAAGUCGAACGAGUGGCGGACGGGUGAGUAUUGUCUGGGAACCUGCCUGAUGGAGGGGGAUAACUCCUGGAAACGGUAGAUAAUACCGCAUACCAUCGGAUGUGCCCAGAUGGGAAUAGCUAGUAGGUGGGGGAACGGCUAACCUAGGCGACGAUCCCUAGCUGGUCGGAGAGGAUGACCACCCACACUGUAAAUUAGUCACGGUCCAGACACCUACGUGAGUCAGCAGUGGGGAAGAUUGCACAAUGGGCACAAGCCUGAUGCAGCAAUGCCGGGUGUAUGAAGAAGGCCUUCGGGUUGUAAAGUACUUUCAGCGGGGAGGCGUUACCCGCAGAAGAAGUACCGGCUAACUCCGUGCCAGCAGGCGCGGUAAUUC
RNAcentral lists this ribosomal RNA (406 nucleotides) under uncultured bacterium. RNAcentral's name for it is "partial 16S ribosomal RNA". It matches the Rfam family "Bacterial small subunit ribosomal RNA", at positions 30 to 526 of the family's 1533-position model. The record is from RNAcentral.